This is a long non-coding RNA of Galeopterus variegatus (Sunda flying lemur), 202 nucleotides long. RefSeq lists it as uncharacterized. The record is from RefSeq and is a predicted model, not a curated record. The transcript has 3 exons. NCBI's taxonomy places the organism in Eukaryota, Metazoa, Chordata, Mammalia, Dermoptera, Cynocephalidae.
AGAGCAGAAGACCAAAAAAGUGGAGAUCUAGAAGCCCAGGGAGGAGAACUUCCAGAAGGAUGGGUCAUUGGUGGGCCAUCUGCACAGAGGUAACCCGACCUCCAUGUUCUUCAGCAGCCUUUCCUCCGCCCUCCAGACUCUUCAAUUCUGUUGAUCUACUUUUCUGUUUCUGGGCCAAUACCACAUUUUAAUGAGCACAGCU